UAUACCCCAUGGUCCUUUUGGAGUCCCCAGCAUCCCCUACGGACUAAGAGAAAAGGAUUUACCGGUAGGUAUUAAAAUCCUAUUUUUUUCUGUGUGAUCCAUUUCUGUUCCUUAUACAUAGGCUCACCAAUACUAUUCCUUUAAUCCGGGCCGCUCAGGGAUUACACAGGUUCUGUGGCUGAUUACCACCAGGUGACAUACAGGCAUGAAGUCAGCCAGCCACAGACCCUGUGUAAUUCAUACGUGCCCCAGUGUAAAGGGAUUGCAUGGCAAGCUUACUUCUAACCAAUGUCCCUCAGGCUCUGUCCUUGGGCCCCAUCCUGUAGAGCCGGCGGUGUGCCCCGGCUGCUGCCUCGUUACAUGGACCGGAGAGCCUGAGUGCGGGGUAGGUGCCGCUGUAGUCUGACUCAUGUGUGUUGCCCUCAGAUGUUCCUGUCUGUCACACGUCUGGUCCUGAGGAUGAAGAAGGAAAGCCAGGCCAGGCUGCGGCCGAGCGAGGUGGUCACCAUCAGCAAGACCAAGAAGAAGCCGCACGUGAAGCGCUGCUGCUGAGGCCCGGCCUGGAGAAGCGGACUGCGGUGUGAGAGCGGCGUGAUUGUGUGUUCUUCCAUCGUACAGCGCGGGGGGAAUGCUGUAUAUACAAUGUAUGGGACUGAAUUCAGGCUGCAGCGAGGCCUGGUGUAGUGUUAUGUACAGUAUAGCGGUAACACAGGGACCACUGGAAACCGGGGGAGGGGGGGGUGUAUGUCCAUAGAGGGGUGGGCUGCAGUGACGUUACACAGAGGACGGCGGUAUGCAGAUGGUGAUAGUCCUGUCUCUACAAGCGGGCUGUAGUGACAGGCUUGUGCAUGGACAGUACAGGAAUAGUAGUGCAGUGUGUAUGUGCACGGCACAGUUGUUUAUGUGGGGGCUGCACUGGAAUAGGGAGGACAGCGUGUAUGGGGGCUGUACAGGAAUAGCAGGGCAAGUAUGUAUGUGUGCAUUGUACAGAAAUAGCAGAGCUCUGUGUGUGUGGGGGGGCAGUACAGGAAUAGCAGAGGGGUGUAUGGGCAAUACAAGAAUAGCAGAGGUGCGGGGGCAUGUACAGGAGCAGUAGAGCGGGUGUAUGCAUGUACAGGAACAGCAGAGCGCGUGUAUGCAUGUACAGGAACAGCAGAGCGGGUGUAUGCAUGUACAGGAACAGCAGAGUGGGUGUAUGCAUGUACAGGAACAGCAGAGCGGGUGUAUGCAUGUACAGGAACAGCAGAGCGGGUGUAUACAUGUACAGGAACAGCAGAGCGGGUGUAUGCAUGUACAGGAAUAGCAGAGGAGCGUGUAUGCAUGUACAGGAACAGCAGGGGGGUGUAUGCAUGUACAGGAACAGCAGAGUGGGUGUAUGCAUGUACAGGAACAGCAGAGCGGGUGUAUGCAUGUACAGGAACAGCAGAGCUGUGUAUUUAUGUGUGUGUGGGCGCCAGUACAGAAUAGCAGAGGGGUGUAUGGGUAAUACUAGAAUAGCAGAGGUGCGGGGACAUGUACAGGAGCAGUAGAGCUGUGUGGGUGGGUCUGUACAGGAAUAUUAGUGCUGUCUGUGUGUGGGGGGGGGGGGGGGGGGAGUACAGGAAUAGCAGAGGAGCGUGUAUGCAUGUACAGGAACAGCAGAGCGGGUGUAUGUUUGUGCUGUACACAUUUAGGUGAUAACUCCCCUCUGUCCUUAUUGUUUGAUGCAGAAUAGAACUCUGUAGCCUCGUUAAUUAUCCACAUGUAUAGGAUCUUUUAUUGACCGCCAUCUUUAACCCAGCCCAGUGCUUCACACUGACCAAUCAGACCCCCGCUUCCCUGAUAGUAUCUAUAUAUUUAUAUAUAUGUAACAUCUCCCCCUGUAUGGGGAUAUAAAGCUUAUUUUUGCAUCUAACUGAAUAAUAGACAAUAAAGAGACAUUUUGUAUGGAAGAA
Long non-coding RNA from Pseudophryne corroboree (corroboree frog), 1934 nucleotides. RefSeq lists it as uncharacterized. Lineage: Eukaryota; Metazoa; Chordata; Amphibia; Anura; Myobatrachidae. The record is from RefSeq and is a predicted model, not a curated record. The transcript has 2 exons.